Molecule: non-coding RNA, 1797 nt
Organism: Sus scrofa (pig)
Lineage: Eukaryota; Metazoa; Chordata; Mammalia; Artiodactyla; Suidae
Source: RefSeq, a predicted model, not a curated record
AACAGCCUGGACUAACAAAGGCUCACUGUGCUUUACAUGAUGAAGAAGGCAUGCAUUUCUGCACGUUCUGCUAAUACAAAAUGAUGUGAUUUUCAAAAGAUAAAAAUGUAUUUACCUUUGGCAGGCUUUGGCAUGCAUGGGUAUCAUUUUGACAUUACUUCUGUGCAAUGGAAAUGUUGAAGGAGAAUCAGAGGCUUGUGUUAAGAAACAUAUGUACAAUCUGAAAAUUCCUCCUUCUUUUGGUGACUUAUCGAUACCUGAGAUUGGGCAGAAAUUUUUAGCCUUCAGGUGAAUUGGCUAAAAAGUGGAUCAUUGUGAAGUUAAAAAUGCUACCAAUCAUGUUAGCCAAGUCCUUAGUGCUGUGAUGGCAUUAGCUUUAAUAAUUUGUCAUGCUUGCUGUCAGACGUUGACGUGCGUUCAUAUCUAAGACCCCUCACAAAUGCCACCUUCUUUCUUUGUAAAGACUUUCCUAAUUCCUCCCAGCUUCUCAUCUGUCUAGAUCUCUAUAAAGACAACGUAUUUGUUGAAUGAGUUAUUUACUGCCAUAUUAUGCAUAUCUUUCCAGGGUGUUGUAUUAUGUUCCUAUUGUUGCCAUAAGAAAUUACCAAAAGCAAAACAAAAUGAAACAACAACAACAAAACAACAACUUGUGGCUUAAAACAACAACAUUAAAAAACAACUUCCUACCUCAGUUAUGCAGGUCAGAAGUUUAGGGCUCAUAUGAUUACAAUGGUCCCUCCUUCAUAAUCUGGAUAAGCCCCCGAUUUUAAAAUCAACUGAUGAGUAAGCUUAAUUCCAUCUCCAAUGUCACAGCGGUGAGCAAAACUCCCUUUGGCUCCAAUUAAAAAGAUGUGCUCCAACACCACAGGGACUAAGAUGAGUUUUCAACUUUCCUGCUCUUGGUCCCCAGAGAUGGACUUACAUCCAAGGAGUUAGGCUCCUGUGAAUCCUACAAAGCCGAGGCUGCUGACCAGAGCACUCAUUCAAGUUAUCUGAGUGGGAUGAUCAAAUUUUUGAAGAUUUCUCUGUGAGAGAUUUCCUAUUAGUUCCAAUCCACACUGAUGACCUAGGAAGAUGCCAGCAAGAAAGAAUUAAGCACAUUUGAUGGAUUGCAGAAAUGACACCCCAGUCUUUAUUUCUUGGAGACUAAUGGAACACGUUAAGCACCCCUAGAUGUCUUAAUCUCUACCCUAAAGGAAAAUGUGUUGGGUGAAAUAUGUCCACAAUAAAUAUGUAGAAACUUAGUCUACAAAGAUUGCGUGAUUUUAUUUUGGGGACUCCUUUGACAUAUUGGGGUAUUCCUAUGGUAAGUAACUUGAAAAGGGUACCUCAGAUCAGCUUUCUGUUUACUGCAUCAAUGUCAGUGGGAUAAAUGAAAAGAUGGCUUACUUUAGGUCUUAGACCUCUGCAGCACUGGUAAAAGAAAAUGUAUAUGACUAUCAGGAUGGUCUCUUUUUUUGUUUUUUUGAAUGUUUCAUCUGUUCACAAAGUAAUAUGUAUUCAUGCAGUCCCGGGACUGCCCAGAUUCCUUCCCUUUAAUGCUUGUAGUAAGGAGCAUCCAUUCCUGAACUUUUAGUGACUUUUUCUUUCUCUGCUUUUGAUUUUCUAAUGAAAUGGAUUCAUCUGUUUUUCUCAUUCAUGUGAGUUCUAAGAUGACAGAAGGUAAUCAGAUAAGCAAAUUCACCUUACUGAUGAUCAGUAAAGUCUUAACAUAGGUCAUUGAUACACUUACCCCAAUACUAGAAAAGGUAAUAUUAAGGUAAUAUUAAGUUCCCAUUGUGGCUCAGUGGAAAUGAA